GAAUAAGCAAUGAUCAUGAGUAGUAUUGAUUAUGAUAAUCUCAGAGAAUGGGUGUCUGCUGGAAAUCCCUGAUUAGUCUAAUUAAGAAGUAGCAUGAAAGCUGAUAUAGUGAAGAGAAGUAGCUAUAGCUGGACUAACAGGCCAUUAUUUCUGUUAUUAAGAGAUCAUUAUUCAAUUAUGUAAUGAUAAUUUAGGUGGUACCGCGAAGCAUUCGUCCUAUAG
Molecule: non-coding RNA, 222 nt
Filed under: Alkalibacterium sp.
Lineage: Bacteria; Bacillati; Bacillota; Bacilli; Lactobacillales; Carnobacteriaceae
Description: T-box sequence
Rfam family: T-box leader
About the family: Uncharged tRNA acts as the effector for transcription antitermination of genes in the T-box leader family. T-boxes are found upstream of many aminoacyl-tRNA synthetase genes and some amino acid biosynthetic genes usually in Gram-positive bacteria. The anticodon of a specific tRNA base pairs to a specifier sequence within the T-box motif, and the NCCA acceptor tail of the tRNA base pairs to a conserved bulge in the T-box antiterminator hairpin.
Source: RNAcentral